AUUGAACGCUGGCGGCAGGCUUAACACAUGCAAGUCGAACGAGGGGCGGACGGGUGAGUAAUGCUUGGGAAUCUAGCUGAUGGAGGGGGAUAACUACGGGAAACUGUAGCUAAUACCGCGUACCAUAGGAUGAGCCCAAUUGGGAUUAGGUAGUUGGUGGGGUAAAGGCUCACCAAGCCGAAGAUCUCUAGCUGGUCUGAGAGUAUGAACAGCCACACUGGGAAGGAGACACGGCCUAGACUCCUACGGGAGGCAGCAGUGGGGAAUAUUGCGCAAUGGGGGCAACCUGACGCAGCCAUGCCGCGUGAGUGAAGAAGGCCUUCGGGUUGUAAAGUUCUUUCGGUGGCGAGGCGUUAACUACAGAAGAAGCACCGGCUAACUCCGUGCCAGCAGCCGCGGUAAUUC
Molecule: ribosomal RNA, 405 nt
Filed under: uncultured bacterium
Lineage: Bacteria
Description: partial 16S ribosomal RNA
Rfam family: Bacterial small subunit ribosomal RNA
Source: RNAcentral